This 574-nucleotide long non-coding RNA is filed under the name Androctonus crassicauda. Lineage: Eukaryota; Metazoa; Arthropoda; Arachnida; Scorpiones; Buthidae. The record is from RNAcentral.
AUGUCAGUUAAUUAGAUAUAAACUUAUAUUGAAAAUAUAUUGAAGUAUUAAUCAUGAAAUUUAAAUUUUUGUUAUUUAUAAUUAGUUUUGGAAAAGUUUUCAUACAAUAAAUUUUGAAAGCAAAUUUGGAUCUUACCUUGCUUUGAUAUACAGUAUGUUAUUUAGUGUAAUUACAAGAUCCUGGCAUUCAUUUGUACCAUUAUCAUUGUGUUCUGUUGUGAUGAAGUCCAAAGAUUAGGUCUACUUUUGCCAUUCAUUCCUGUUAUUGGCUAAGUUUUGUAGAUUAAAAUAGCUCAUUCAGUCUUUGAAUUGACCGAUUUCAUGAUAAACGCCCAUUGCCAUGACGUUGCAAUAUGUCGUCUGUACGACGAAAAACAAAUCACAUGUGGUCGCGUGCUUGAAUGUUCUACCAUGACGUUUCUUCAAAAUCUAAAUAAAUUUACAAUCAAAAUAGGCUUUGGUUAUUUUAAACGCCAUUCAAAUAAUACAAGAAGAUCAAAAGAACGUGGUUUCUCCUUUUUUUUGUGCAAGUUAUAUACAUAAACUUAAAUUGAAAGGAAAUAUAUUUUCGGCC